RNAcentral lists this ribosomal RNA (253 nucleotides) under uncultured bacterium. RNAcentral describes it as "partial 16S ribosomal RNA". It matches the Rfam family "Bacterial small subunit ribosomal RNA", at positions 524 to 776 of the family's 1533-position model. The record is from RNAcentral.
GACGAACCGUGCGACCGUUGUUCGGAUUCACUGGGCUUAAAGGGCGCGUAGGCGGCUUGCCAAGUCAGGGGUGAAAUCCUCCGGCUUAACCGGAGAAGUGCUUUUGAUACUGGCGAGCUUGAGGGAGGUAGGGGCAGGCGGAACUUCCGGUGGAGCGGUGAAAUGCGUAGAUAUCGGAAGGAACGCCGGUGGCGAAAGCGGCCUGCUGGACCUCUUCUGACGCUGAGGCGCGAAAGCCAGGGGAGCGAACGGG